Molecule: ribosomal RNA, 253 nt
Filed under: uncultured bacterium
Lineage: Bacteria
Description: partial 16S ribosomal RNA
Rfam family: Bacterial small subunit ribosomal RNA
Source: RNAcentral
UACGAAGGGGGCUAGCGUUGCUCGGAAUCACUGGGCGUAAAGCGCACGUAGGCGGAUCUUUAAGUCAGGGGUGAAAUCCCAAGGCUCAACCUUGGAACUGCCUUUGAUACUGGGGAUCUCGAGUCCGGAAGAGGUUGGUGGAACUGCGAGUGUAGAGGUGAAGUUCGUAGAUAUUCGCAAGAACACCAGUGGCGAAGGCGGCCAACUGGUCCGGUACUGACGCUGAGACGCGAAAGCGUGGGGAGCGAACCGG